UACGUAGGCAGCAAGCGUUGUUCGGAGUUACUGGGCGUAAAGAGUAUGUAGGCGGUCCUGCAAGUUUGGUGUGAAAUCUCCCGGCUCAACUGGGAGGGUGCGCCGAAAACUGCAGGGCUCGAGUGCGGGAGAGGAGAGCGGAAUUCCUGGUGUAGCGGUGAAAUGCGUAGAUAUCAGGAGGAACACCGGCGGUGUAGACGGCUCUCUGGACCGUAACUGACGCUGAGAUGCGAAAGCGUGGGGAG
This 245-nucleotide ribosomal RNA is filed under the name uncultured bacterium. RNAcentral describes it as "partial 16S ribosomal RNA". It matches the Rfam family "Bacterial small subunit ribosomal RNA", at positions 524 to 768 of the family's 1533-position model. The record is from RNAcentral.